RNA transcript from Labeo rohita (rohu), 1549 nucleotides. RefSeq lists it as uncharacterized. Lineage: Eukaryota; Metazoa; Chordata; Actinopteri; Cypriniformes; Cyprinidae. The record is from RefSeq and is a predicted model, not a curated record. The transcript has 2 exons.
ACCAAUAGAAAUUAUGAAAAAUAUUUUCCAAUAUUAGAAACAGAUGAUAUGAAAACAUUUUUUUCUUAAUAGUCAAGUGAGCAUAUUUACUGGCCUAUGCAGAUAACUCAAAAUGCUCAAAUAGUAGCCUAUAAGACAAAUAUAAUUUUUUUUUUUUUUACAAAAUGUUUAUCAACAUACACCUAAAAUACUACACAAAACAGCAAAAAGUCAUAAAGAUAAUCUGGUGCUAUUCCUUUAGGUUAUUUACAAUGCAAAACGAUUUCUGAUAUGCAUCUGAUUGCAAUAUCAAACUAAUAAUUGAUCUGAUUAAUGUUUGUGCUUCACAUAAAACACUGAAACUAAAAAAAGCAUUCAUUUAAAUCAUAAAGCACGGAACAAAACAUGUUAGUUUCAGAGCAAACGUUCAGUGAUGAGAUUAACUCAUCUUGCGUUCAUCUGAAUGCAUUAAAUGUAAAUUAAACACACUUGAGUUUAUUAUCACGAUGCGUGAGUUUGUCUUUCAAGCUAAAAAGCCGAAGAGGCCCGAGUGACUCUUCGAUUGGGACAGUGUUUUUUUUUCUCUCUCUCUCUCGCGCCCUGUCUUUCCUCAUUUCUGUCGCUCUCCGGCCAUCUGCUGUGUAAGUGCAGCACUAUUGAUCAGAAUCAAUGCGCCUCGGACCCCAUGAUGCUGCUGAUGUGCCGUUAGUGGCCGUCCGUUCGCGCCCUGCGCCGCAUCUGUUCCGGGUGACCCGGCGCGUUCGGGGCGCGUACAGAGAUCCAGCAGCUCUCGGCGCCGUGACCUUUAACCCUCGGCACGUUCACCUCAUUGUGUCCAUGAAAGAGACGAGCAAACACACGUGGACGACGGCACUGGUUCCUUACACUGAAAUCCUGGAAUAUAAUAGAAAUCUGUGUGUUAAUGAACUAAUGCAUGUAAAAUUAUACAGUAAUCUAAAAUAUUUGAGGUAUUUCUGUAAAAAAUACUUCGUCUAGCUUCUGAGUUUGGACACUUUCUAUGAUUUUCAUAAUUACAAUUCACAAGAAAAAAAAAUUAAAAAAAUUAAAGACUCUUAUACAGGAUUAUAAAACAUGCUGUGACUAAUAUGUGACUCUGGACCACAAAACCAGUCUUAAGUAGUACGGGUAUAUUUGUAGCAAUAGUCAAAAAUACAUUGUAUGGGUCAAAAUGAUCGAUUUUCUUUCUAAAAAUCAUUAGGAUAUUAAGUAAAGAUCAUGUUCCAUGAAGAUAUUUGUAAAUUUCCUACUGUAAAUAUUUCAAAACUUAAUUUUUGAUUAAUAAUAUGCAUUGCAAAGAAUUAAUUUGGACAACUUUAAAGGUGAUUUUCUCAAUAUUUAGAUUUUUUUGCACCCUCAGAUUCCAGAUUUUCAAAUAUCCUAACAAACCAUACAUCAAUUUAAAGCUUAUUUAUUCAGAUGUCAGAUGUAUAAAUGUCAAUUUCAAAAAAUGUUUUGGUCCAGGGUCACAUAUAGGGGAUUUAGGGGAUUUAUAUACAAUUUUUUACAUAUAACCAAUAAUCCAAAAUGGACUAAAUGAAAUAAUGAAAAA